This 497-nucleotide ribosomal RNA is filed under the name uncultured bacterium. RNAcentral describes it as "partial 16S ribosomal RNA". It matches the Rfam family "Bacterial small subunit ribosomal RNA", at positions 28 to 507 of the family's 1533-position model. The record is from RNAcentral.
GAUGAACGCUGGCGGCGUGCCUAUUACAUGCAAGUCGAGCGAACAGACGAGGAGCUUGCUCCUCUGACGUUAGCGGCGGACGGGUGAGUAACACGUGGAUAACCUACCUAUAAGACUGGGAUAACUUCGGGAAACCGGAGCUAAUACCGGAUAAUAUAUUGAACCGCAUGGUUCAAUAGUGAAAGACGGUUUUGCUGUCACUUAUAGAUGGAUCCGCGCCGCAUUAGCUAGUUGGUAAGGUAACGGCUUACCAAGGCGACGAUGCGUAGCCGACCUGAGAGGGUGAUCGGCCACACUGGAACUGAGACACGGUCCAGACUCCUACGGGAGGCAGCAGUAGGGAAUCUUCCGCAAUGGGCGAAAGCUUGACGGAGCAACGCCGCGUGAGUGAUGAAGGUCUUCGGAUCGUAAAACUCUGUUAUUAGGGAAGAACAAAUGUGUAAGUAACUAUGCACGUCUUGACGGUACCUAAUCAGAAAGCCACGGCUAACUACGUG